AAACAAUUUCUCUGUAAAUUUUCCGAUAUCAAUAAAAUGUUUUCCUUCUAAAUUUCUCUUGUUCUUCUCUUUGAAAGGCAUGGAAAGGCUGAUCCUAAGUUAGUAUAGGGUUAGGAAAUAUUGGGCAAGUUGAGCUUGUUAUGAGUACAAUAGUUUUGCGAAGCUUUGACAGUAUGUCUGUAAUAGUGCGAAUGUUUUUCCAAGUUGAGUAGCUUGGCUAGGAAGCCAGCCCAUUUUGUAGGAAAAACUUUCAUAUCUACGAUCUUUCAAACUGUCCGACCAACUUGACAAGCCAUCCUUCGGGUUGUUAAAGUCAGGUUUGUGGCAAGCCGUCCUUCGGAAUGUUGAAGCCCAGUCCUACUUUGUAAGAAAACUAUUGUGCUUGUAGUUUGGCUGUCUUGCUUGGUGUUUCCCCGCCCUCUACAUACCCGUGGUAUCAGAGCCAGUCCAUCUCUUUCGGAGAGAGGAGCAGUUUAGUAAAAAUAUGUCUGAGUCGUUACCAUCUGUGUCCAACCCUUGUAAGUCCUUAGCAAAAAUAAAUAUGUCUCCUACUCUGUAUAAAACCCUUUCUUGCAAAUAUGACUACCUUUAUGAAGUUGAUAUUUUACCUGAUGGACACAAAGUGUCUCCCACCGACCUACCCCUCAUAAACCCAUACUCUGAUUUUGCUAAAAAGACAUGUUCCCCGUGGUCACAAAUCCGUUCCCUGGUCCAACCAAAGCCCAAAGAAGCUAAAGAAUAUGUUGGUGCAUCAAAACUUGACCAACACCCUAUUCUAGCAACUCAAGAAGAACAAUUCAUCAUUCUGCAGAUUCCAGAUGAUUUUCCUAGACAGUGGAAACAUCGUGGUUUCAUCCAUGUCCAUUUUGGUGCUAUUUGAAUUGCAUUAACAUAUCAUGGAUGAAAGGUCCUGUUAUAUCCCGUAUUUUUUUACAUUCGGAUAUUUCAAGGUAAUCGCGAUAAGUUAAGGGCAAGGCUAUAUUUUGAUCUUGUUUAAUACACAAGUUGUUUAUGAAUAUUAUUGAUGUGGAAAUAUUAAGAAAGGCUAGGGGUAAAAAGGGAAAUUCAUAAGAAGGUUCAUGGUAAUAUUGUGGAAGGCUAGGGGCAAAAUGGGAAAUUCACAAAAUAUUCAAGAAGGUUCUUGAAGGAGCCAUGUUGGCCGUGUGGCAUAUGUCCACAAUUUUAUUAAAUGGGGCUAAUUAUAAAUAUAUAUAUAUAUAUAUAUGGACCAAAGCUUACAUAAUAAGACAAGUAGUCAUCUUUGUUUAUUUUAAGAAAGUUCAAGAAAAAGGGAGAAGGGGACAUGUAUCCACCUUGUGUUGGUAGAAUCUCUCUCUCUCUCUCUAUAUAUAUAUACAAUGGAUGACAAAAUAAGGCAUAUUUAUCUUCUAAAUCAAGAAGCUUGGAGAGAAAAGAAAAAAAAAGAAGAGAGAGGGGGUUCGGCCAUGGUUGGCCGAACUUGGAGCCAUGCAAAAUUGAUCCAAAAAAAAUAUUUUCUUCUAGCUUUUCUACCAAUUGGAAGGUCCUCUAUAACGUGGAGUAGUAGUUGGAGCAAGCAAACCAUUCAUUCUUGCAAGGCACAACUCUAGCCAAGUUGAAGAGCUAAGUGGAAAAGACUAGCAAGCUUGGAUAAAUAAGUGUAGCUAAUAGGACGUGGAACAGUUGGAUAUAGAUGAGUAGAGGGUAUUGCUAGAAGAUGAUCCAGCUGGAUUGGCGAGCUCCAUUUCCUUCCGGAGUGUUGCCGAGUCAGAGUAUCCAUGUUAUGGUAUCUUGAUUGAUGUUAAAGACUUUGCAGAUAGAGUCACGUGUAUAGAAUGUCAAUCUUGUAAGCGGCUCUGCAAGCCGACGUACCAUUAUGCACCAUGUUACAAAUUCCAUAUGAUUACAAAUAUUACUCGAUUUGAG
Long non-coding RNA from Lycium barbarum (goji berry), 1905 nucleotides. RefSeq lists it as uncharacterized. The record is from RefSeq and is a predicted model, not a curated record. The transcript has 3 exons. NCBI's taxonomy places the organism in Eukaryota, Viridiplantae, Streptophyta, Magnoliopsida, Solanales, Solanaceae.